RNAcentral lists this ribosomal RNA (599 nucleotides) under uncultured ciliate. Its description in RNAcentral is "SSU rRNA". It matches the Rfam family "Eukaryotic small subunit ribosomal RNA", at positions 347 to 955 of the family's 1831-position model. The record is from RNAcentral. Lineage: Eukaryota; Ciliophora.
UGGCUUUCACGGGUAACGGAGGAUAGGGUUCGAUUCCGGAGAGGGAGCCUGAGAAACGGCUACCACUUCUACGGAAGGCAGCAGGCGCGUAAAUUACCCAAUCCUGAUUCAGGGAGGUAGUGACAAGAAAUAACGGACCGAAGCGCUUUUGUGUUUCGGGGUUGCAAUGAGUACAAUUUAAACCCCUUAACGAGGAUCAAUUGGAGGGCAAGUCUGGUGCCAGCAGCCGCGGUAAUUCCAGCUCCAAUAGCGUAUAUUAAAGUUGUUGCAGUUAAAAAGCUCGUAGUUGGACUUCUGGGAGGAUGCCGUCUGUCCGCCUUCACGGUGUGUGCAGCAGCGCCCUUCCAUCCUUCUGUCAACGAUUCUCGGGAUUUAUUUCCUGGCUUCGGGCUCAGAUAUUUUACCUUGAGAAAAUUAGAGUGUUUCAGGCAGGCUUGCGCCGGAAUACAUUAGCAUGGAAUAAUAGAAUAGGACUCCAGUCUCUUUGUUGGUUUCCGAGUUUGGAGUAAUGAUUAAUAGGGAUAGUUGGGGGCAUUAGUAUUUAAUUGUCAGAGGUGAAAUUCUCGGAUUUGUUAAAGACUAACUUAUGCGAAAGCAUU